GAUGAACGCUGGCGGCGUGCUUAACACAUGCAAGUCGAACGGAAAGGCCCAAGCUUGCUUGGGUACUCGAGUGGCGAACGGGUGAGUAACACGUGGGUGAUCUGCCCUGCACUUCGGGAUAAGCCUGGGAAACUGGGUCUAAUACCGGAUAGGACCACUUCUUGGAUGUUGUGGUUGAAAGUUUUUUCGGUGUGGGAUGAGCUCGCGGCCUAUCAGCUUGUUGGUGGGGUAAUGGCCUACCAAGGCGUCGACGGGUAGCCGGCCUGAGAGGGUGUACGGCCACAUUGGGACUGAGAUACGGCACAGACUCCGACGGGAGGCAGCAGUGGGGAAUAUUGCACAAGGGGCGCAAGCCUGAUGCAGCGACGCCGCGUGGGGGAUGACGGCCUUCGGGUUGUAAACUCCUUUCGCUAGGGACGAAGCGUUUUGUGACGGUACCUGGAGAAGAAGCUCCGGCUAACUACGUG
Molecule: ribosomal RNA, 467 nt
Filed under: uncultured bacterium
Lineage: Bacteria
Description: partial 16S ribosomal RNA
Rfam family: Bacterial small subunit ribosomal RNA
Source: RNAcentral